ACCAGGAUGCCAUCAGGUCUCAUAAGGCUGGACGCCCAGUCAGACCUGGCUGAUCUCCCUGUACCACCAGGCUGUCCUCCACUGCAGGGCUCAGAGAGCAGCCAGCAGAACUUCAUGGGCGUCCUGGAGACGGCCAUGAAACUAGCCAAUCAGGACGCAGACGCAGAGGACGAGGACGGAACAGGGGAAUUGGCCAAGCCUGCAGUGGGAGCUCCAGUC
Oncorhynchus keta (chum salmon) is the source of this 219-nucleotide long non-coding RNA. RefSeq lists it as uncharacterized. The record is from RefSeq and is a predicted model, not a curated record. Lineage: Eukaryota; Metazoa; Chordata; Actinopteri; Salmoniformes; Salmonidae. The transcript is spliced from 3 exons.